ACAUAAACGAGGUUCUACGGAAACUGUGGUGCCCAAAUUAAACAGAAUGACAUUUAAGCACGAGAAUAACAAGAUACUGUACAUGAAGUGUAAUUUUUAGAAUCAGGAAGAACCAGAAGAAUUUUAUUACUUAAAACAGUAAUUGUUUUGAGCUCUCAUGACAUCCAGGACCCACUAACAGCUAAAAAUGUGUCCAGCACCCUCAUGGAUGAACUUUAGGUGGCAACAUCACCAGAUGCUAGGUUACAUAAAAAUAUGUGCUGUGUGUAACGAAGAAACUUGAAAUUGCUGUCGUUAAUAUUGUUGCAAACAUUUGUUCUAGUUAGAAAGGAAGUGUGGAAGUUUGAUGAGCUACACAACACUGAGAGUCAAAACUCUUUACAAUGUAUAGAAAUGGCCAUCCAAAUAGGGCAGAGUUGGUACCUCACAAUGGAACCAUGAGUCAGCACAGUCAGUGCCAUACGCUGUGAAGAAUGAUAGAUGUUGGCAUAGACACACCCUGAAGAGUUUCCACCACGUUAAGUAGAACCAAAUGUUUAACUGUACAUAUACACCCUAAUAUAAAUAAGAAACCAGAAAAUAGUAGAGUAGAAAUUUUACAAAAAAUGGUAAUUUUGAGACUUUACACAGCAGUACCAGCACUUUCUUAAUGCACUUGAAUAUAAAUGGAUUAGGUACAACCAAUCAUAGUGGUAGAGUCAAGAAAAUUGAUAAACUGUAGAUUUUACUCUCAGAAUGUAAAAGUAUUAAAAUUAUUUGUUUAAAUGGACAUUGACGUACAAAUGAUUGUCACAAGGCACUUGGGUUCAAGGCAAACUUCACGGAAUUCACAAGAAAAAAUGACAAUACAUAAACCUCUAUCGAUAAUAUUCUAGCUAAUUAUAAAUUCGAUGAUAUAAGGAAGCUAUGUGUAGAUUUAGGACUUUCAGACCAUUCCGCAAUGUUUAUUGAGAUGACUAAUACAAAUGAACAAAGAACUAGAAAAACCUGCAGCAAAAGACAUUUUACUGUUGAAAACUUAAAAUUGUUCUGCUCGGAAUUAGAAGAGGUGGAGUGGCAAGUCAAAGGUGAGAUGCCAAUCUCUGUGCAUUUUAACAUAUUUAUUGAAAUUUUUUUUAUGUAUUUAGAGAAAUAUUUCCACUUAGAUUGCACUAGACAAAAGUAUCUAAUAAGCUAAAUUUGAUCACUCCUGCAAUAAAAAUAUCCAGUGGAAAAAAAGAUAACUGCAUAAGGAACUGAAAUACAACACAGACGCUGUUUUCAUUUACUAUGUUAAACAGUAUAAAAGCAUAUUUAAAAGGUUAGUGAAAGCAGAAAAAGAACAAAAAUUCUGCAGGGUGGGAUGGCAACACUACGAAAGUAGUUAAAGCAGCUGCCAGGAUAGUAGCUCACCCUCUUUGGUCAAUAAUUAAUAAAUCACUCAAAGAAGGCCACUGUCCAGAUCUCCUUAAGUAUACAGAGGUAAAACCUUUAUUUAAGAAAGGUUCAAGAGAAGAUAUGGGGAACUACUGCCCAAUCUCCAUUCUCUCGAUUUUUUCAAAAGUAUUUUAAAAAGUGGUGGUAACACAAAUUAAAAAAGUUUAGAGAAAUCAAAGAUAAUUUCAGAUAAUCAAUAUGGCUUUCAGAAAUGCAAGGUUACAACAGAGGCUAUUAAUGAGUUUGUGAAAAAAAUCAGUUCUGCAUUAAACAAGUAGAGAAAAGUUCCAGGAUUUUUCAGUGACCUCGCGAAAGCAUUUCAUUGUGUAAACCAUCACUUUCUCCUGUAUAAAAUGGAAAGAUAUUUGGGAGUUGUGCUUUAAGGUGGUUUAGCUCAUACCUCACAAACAGAAAACAGAGGGUAGUUAUAUCAUCAAGUAAGGGAAAUUCGUUUCCUGAAUGGAUGAUUAUUUUGCAAGGCGUUCUUCAAGGCUCAAUUCUGGGUCCAAUUUUGGUUUUACUUUACAUAAAUGAUCUACCCGCGACCAUAAAUUGACACUCAGUUUUGUUUGCUGACGAUACUUCUGCUCUUGUUGAAAGCAAUGACUGAACAAAUUCCUUAAACUGUGACAAGAAUAUUAGAUAGUUUGGAAAACUGGUUCCAACUGAAUGGGCUAAAAUUGAAUAUUGGAAAAACACAUUUGCUGCGGUGUAAAACUAAAAACUCUAAGGUAAAAGAAUUCCAAAUAGUUUCAGAGACCAAGAACUGAAAAAAGCGGAUUGUGUUUAACUUUUAGGCAUGCAUUUUGACCAAAAUCUGUCCUGGUCUUCUCACAUGAAGUAUUUAGCAAGUAAAUUAAACAGCCUGACAUUUGCAAUGAAGAUUCUGUCAUAUGCAAGUAGCACGGAGACAAGAAAACUAGUUUCCACAGAUACUUUGAUCAGUCAUAAGGUAUGGAAUUAUUUAUUGGGGAGGCAGAAGCAAAAUGAUUAGAAUGUUAAAAUUGCAAAAAUCAAUCGUUAGAAAUAUGUUUAAUGCAAAACCGAAAGUAUCCUGUCGGCCACUGUUAAGAAAUUUAAAAUAUUAGGUGCUCCAUUUUUGUACAUUUAUGAACUGAUUAUUUUUUAAUGCAACAACACCAAGCCAUUCAUAGACAAUAAAUUUAAACGUCAAUAUGGAACUAGGAACAAGGAGAAUCUCAUGAUUCCCACUCAUAGAUUAAAGCUGUUUGCACAAACCCCAGAGUACAUGGGCAUAAAAAUUUACAACAUUCUAAAAAAGAAACAAGUCCUCAGCAUGGAGAUGGAGCAACUAAAGCAAAAACUACGACAGUUGUUAGUUAUGAAAUGUUAUUAUGCCUUAGAAGACAUUCUUAAUGAUUAUAUGACAAUCUGAGCAAGAAUGCAAGUGGACAAAAAGUUUUGUUAAUUAAGGUUAGAUGUUUUAUGUCUAAUAAAUGACUGUAAUAAUUAGUCUCUCUUUCACAGUAAUACUGUUGUUAGGCUACACACAAUCUCUGCAAUUCAUAAAUUAAUAAUUAUUGUUUCUGUAAUACAUAUGAACUGUAAUUGCCGUAUUGAUUCGUCUCCUGUAUGUUAUGAGACAGUAAAUUCUGAUUCUGAUGAUGUCACUGUUGAAGACUUACUUAUGUCAGAGCAGAGUGCCACUCAGCCCAUUCUGCAAUGAUCACUGACUACAAUAGCAUUAUCUCACUACAGAGCCUAUAGUGCAAGAGUAGUAUUGCAUAGAACUAUGUUUACAGUUAGUUGUAAUUUGAGAGAAGAGACUAUUAUCUUGUAGUAUAUCAAGUGAUAAAAUAAUGUUCAGUGUCGGUAAUAGAUAGACAUGACAUUCCUGUAGAUUGUUUCAAAGUUAAAUGUUUUGUCUUCUUCAAGUUUUAAUAAACUUAACUAAUAGUUUGUGUGUAUUGUAGUAUCAACUCAGCUGCCUCCAAAAAUAAAUAUAAGAACCACCCACAGUGCUAAUUAAUGUUUUUUUGUCUGGCACAACAUGUAAUACAGUACAAGUUCUGUAUGUAUGUAACUUUGCCGAAAACAUCUCAGAAUUGUUUGGUAUCAAUCUGCUCAUUAUAUACUGUUACAGUCUGCUACACCACAUACCACUUAAGGUGGGAUGUAACAGAAAAUAUAAAAUUUAUUUAAAAAAUCAUUACAGCCAUAUUUAUUAAUGUACAAAUUUAAAAUGUUGCAUGUGUAAAGCAAAAGAGUUGUCUUUUAAUGGAAAAAUAUAAUAAAAUACGCAGAAUUAAUAUUUUGCCACAAAUUUUAAUUUUAA
Molecule: long non-coding RNA, 3712 nt
Organism: Schistocerca gregaria
Lineage: Eukaryota; Metazoa; Arthropoda; Insecta; Orthoptera; Acrididae
Exons: 2
Source: RefSeq, a predicted model, not a curated record